UUUUUAUCUCGGAAGAUACUCCUUUUUGUUCUUUGUCUGAAACCUUCGACAAUUUUCUAAUCUGAGAAAAUAAUCUUUGUCGGCCGAUCGACGAAGCUGUAUCGAAAUCCAUCUGAAAUCCACUUCCAUCGUCUUCGCUUAUACAUCAAUUCUUUGCAAAUUAUAAGAUCUUAAAAGAGAUUAGUAGCCAUAUUUCGAUGGUUUCUCAAAAGAAGAAGAAUAAUGAAGAUAAGUUUUUUUUAUCCAGAUUAUUCUAUAGCUUGAGCACUUUAUUGCAAAAUGCUCCUGCUUCAUUAUUCUUUAGCAAAAAAAGAUAAUUAAACAUUUUAUUUACAAAUAAUCAUUAGAAGAGUAAAUCUAUACUAUUGAUAAAUCGUAAAUUACAGAUGUAUCAGCAAGAAUCAUCUCGACAGUCUCCCCGGAGUAUUGGGUGUAUUGAGUCCAUGAAUGGACGAUUUUCACUUGGAUCUUCCAUUGAGUCUUGAAUGGUUUGACUGCAUUAAGUUCUGUGAUGAGAAGAGCCAUUGUUUGAGAGAUCUACUAAAUGCGA
This is a long non-coding RNA of Arabidopsis lyrata subsp. lyrata, 550 nucleotides long. RefSeq lists it as uncharacterized. NCBI's taxonomy places the organism in Eukaryota, Viridiplantae, Streptophyta, Magnoliopsida, Brassicales, Brassicaceae. The record is from RefSeq and is a predicted model, not a curated record. The transcript has 3 exons.